Molecule: long non-coding RNA, 631 nt
Organism: Amphimedon queenslandica
Lineage: Eukaryota; Metazoa; Porifera; Demospongiae; Haplosclerida; Niphatidae
Exons: 4
Source: RefSeq, a predicted model, not a curated record
AAGUACUCUUCACUUGAGAAGACUGAGAGUCAUGUUGCUGGUGAACUGAGGGAUGUGAUGCUUGACCUUGAGAAGGAGAGGAACGCUACUGCUGCCUGGGAAAAGAAAAAGAAAGCCAUUGACCAGCAGAUCAAUGAAUGGAAAGCAAAAUAUGAAGGCUCACAACAAGAACUUGAUGCAAGCAAAUCUGAAUCCUGCAUGUACAGCUUUGAGCUACUGAAACUCAAAUCUGAGAACAGUGAUCUCAAAGAUGAACGGCAACCGAAGACAACAAACAACUACAAAACGAUCUUGCUGAAAUUGAAAAAUAAUUAACUGAGGGAGGAACUAGCGUCCACGACCUUGAGAAAGCUAAAAAGAAACUUGAACAAGAACUUGAAGAAAUCAAUCUCAUGAUGGAGAGAACAAAAGGCCAAUUGGAAGUAGAGCAGAACACUGUCCUUUGUCUUCAGUUAGAAAUACCACAGCUCAAACAGAGAGGAAACUCUUUGAGAAAGAUAAUGAAAUAAACUCCCUCAGGCAAGUCUUGCUGUACAUACCCAACUCAUUAUACUGAGAGCUGUUGCAUGGAAGUAAUCAAUGGGAGGGUGCGGCUAUGGACUGUCUGCCAUGUUGGGUGGCAAGAAUGUAC